GUCUAUGGCCAUAUUACCCUGGAUGUGCCCAAUCUUGUCUGAUAUCUGAAACCAAGCAGGGUCAGGUCUGCUUAGUACUUGGAUGAGAGACCUCCUGGGAAUACUGGGUGUUAUAGGCU
Ribosomal RNA from Cercocebus atys (sooty mangabey), 119 nucleotides. The record is from Ensembl. NCBI's taxonomy places the organism in Eukaryota, Metazoa, Chordata, Mammalia, Primates, Cercopithecidae.